GCUUAUGUAGCUUAUGUAGAGUUGGGUUUUGAAGAAACCUUGGAGGUUGAGAUUUUGCCUUUAAGCU
Molecule: transfer RNA, 67 nt
Filed under: Charinus carajas
Lineage: Eukaryota; Metazoa; Arthropoda; Arachnida; Amblypygi; Charinidae
Description: tRNA-Phe
Source: RNAcentral